RNAcentral lists this long non-coding RNA (433 nucleotides) under Numida meleagris (helmeted guineafowl). RNAcentral describes it as "lncRNA (ENSNMEG00000001243.1)". The record is from RNAcentral. Lineage: Eukaryota; Metazoa; Chordata; Aves; Galliformes; Numididae.
CCAUGGACCUUCUCUUCCAUCGAGUCAUGGCUGAGGAUGGUGAGGAGCACAGAAUUGCCUUCCCUCUCCCAGGAUUGAGGAGCAGGACAUGAACUGCCAGACACUGAUCACAGACAGAGGACCAACAAUUUCUGAAGGACCUCAUCCAAUGGGUACCUUGAGUCUUCAGUGAGCUCUGCAUCAGGCCUCUAUCAUACUCCAGCUUGUUUCACAGGGCCUACAGCUGACCAAAGUCCUCAGCUUCUCCAGUUCAGCUUUCUCAAACAAAAGAUUCAGGUGGUCCCCAAAGACCAUCUCUGCUCUUCGUGGGUAUUUCUGCAUCAGAACCACUCCGUCCCCACCACCCUCCGAGAGCUCAGGUGCAAAUCAUCUCCUCAUUAAGCUCCUUGUACAAAUUCACAUACAAAUCCAGAAAAACAAACAGUGGAUAUGA